UUUUUUUUUUUUUGAAACACAAGAACUUUCAUUAAAAUCAUCAGAAAAGUUAGGUGAUACAAUUAAAUGCAAUCUCAUCUGCAAGACAUUGUUUUGCCAAAACAUAGGCUUCACUAUUUUUCACUCUGGAUAUCCAGCGAAAAGAGAUAGUUUCGAAAAGGCCUGCAAGCGAAAUGAUGUCGGCUGUGAUGCCGUAGAUUUCGGUUGCUGUUGAUCCUGAGUUCACCGCCUGGAUUAGUUGCGUUGAAUCCGACUCGCAGCAGACGUUUGCGUAUCCUAAUCGUUGACAGCUCCAGACUGCUUCACGGAGUGCGAGUCCCUCCGCAAUCCAACGGGGAGACGACAAAAGGUGUUGCUGUUGAGAAGGAUCGAGUUCGAUCGUCAUCUGUUAUUGUCCAGCCGAGUCCAGCUGUUAGACAAUCCUGUCUCCAUGCUGCGUCUGAUCGUACAAUCACACAAUGUUCAGCUGAAACAGCUUUGGUAACUAUGUCCUCAGGGGAAAGCCAUUUGUCGUUGAAAAUGGUGUUGUUUCUAGCAAGCCAGAUCUGCCAUAAUAGCCAAGGCGCUAAGCAGCUCUUUGAGACUCCAGUUGGGGGUAAGUUGACCUUUGCACACAGGCUAGUCCAACUGCCCAGCCUGUGUGUUGUGUUAGCAAGUCCCGGCCAAUGAGCACUCCCCUCCAGCAAUGGGAUAUUGCAUCAGUUUCGCUCACAGUCAUCAACCCUUCGAUUUCAGAAGUUAUAACAUACAAAGAAGCUGGUAGAGCAUAUAUUCAAUAAGGUUAUCAAGUAGAAGGCUGCACGCUUUUCCGCAGCAACAUUCUAUAACAACUCUUCCUGUUCUGUUUCUAGUUUCCAUCUGAAUUCAUUUUUAUACACUUAAUUUCGAGUAUUGAGUCGAGGGAGAGGAGGUUCUCAUACAAUGGGCUAGACAUGUUGAUGUCGUUAUUGAUGAAGCACGACCUCUAUCAGCAGGAGUAGGACAAUUCAUGACAUAGCUGGUAAAUUCAAAUUAGCUCGUACAUUCGGCAUGGCUAACAAACAAAGAAGCAUACGUUAUUGAAACAUAUGUGGCUUGCCGUUUGUACGGUCACACUAGUAAUAGUAAAUUACUACUUCUUUUUUUAGAAAAACUCAACAAGAUUGUAAUAAUUGUAUUGAGUCAUGAAAACAGAGUGAAAAUUAGUUUUCACUGA
Molecule: long non-coding RNA, 1195 nt
Organism: Brassica napus (rape)
Lineage: Eukaryota; Viridiplantae; Streptophyta; Magnoliopsida; Brassicales; Brassicaceae
Exons: 2
Source: RefSeq, a predicted model, not a curated record